This 982-nucleotide ribosomal RNA is filed under the name Aureobasidium pullulans. RNAcentral's name for it is "eukaryotic LSU rRNA". The stretch from base 179 to 332 matches the Rfam family "5.8S ribosomal RNA". Lineage: Eukaryota; Fungi; Ascomycota; Dothideomycetes; Dothideales; Saccotheciaceae. The record is from RNAcentral.
GAUAGGGGGUGCUCAGCGCCCGACCUCCAACCCUUUGUUGUUAAAACUACCUUGUUGCUUUGGCGGGACCGCUCGGUCUCGAGCCGCUGGGGAUUCGUCCCAGGCGAGCGCCCGCCAGAGUUAAACCAAACUCUUGUUAUUUAACCGGUCGUCUGAGUUAAAAUUUUGAAUAAAUCAAAACUUUCAACAACGGAUCUCUUGGUUCUCGCAUCGAUGAAGAACGCAGCGAAAUGCGAUAAGUAAUGUGAAUUGCAGAAUUCAGUGAAUCAUCGAAUCUUUGAACGCACAUUGCGCCCCUUGGUAUUCCGAGGGGCAUGCCUGUUCGAGCGUCAUUACACCACUCAAGCUAUGCUUGGUAUUGGGCGUCGUCCUUAGUUGGGCGCGCCUUAAAGACCUCGGCGAGGCCACUCCGGCUUCAGGCGUAGUAGAAUUUAUUCGAACGUCUGUCAAAGGAGAGGAACUCUGCCGACUGAAACCUUUAUUUUUCUAGGUUGACCUCGGAUCAGGUAGGGAUACCCGCUGAACUUAAGCAUAUCAAUAAGCGGAGGAAAGGAUCAUUAAAGAGUAAGGGUGCUCAGCGCCCGACCUCCAACCCUUUGUUGUUAAAACUACCUUGUUGCUUUGGCGGGACCGCUCGGUCUCGAGCGCUGGGGAUUCGUCCGGGAGCCCAAUUAAACAAUGUAUUUAACCGGGAUUAAAAUUUUGAAUAAAUCAAAACUUUCAAGAUCUCUUGGAUCUCAUCAUGAAGACGCAAAUGCAUAGUAAUGGUGAUGAUCUGAAUCAUAUCUUGACGCAUGGCUUGGAUCGAGGGAUGCUGAGAUACCAUCUACGUGAAUAGGCUCUAUGGCGUACACAGCAGCUGGCUGAUAUCCACUGCAGAGAUCUCGCACAUUCUGAGCUACGAGUAGCUACUAUCAUCAGGAAGGAGAGGAACUCUGCCGACUGAAACCUUUAUUUUCUAGGUGACCUCGGAUCAGGCGGC